UGGGGAAUAUUGCACAAUGGGCGCAAGCCUGAUGCAGCCAUGCCGCGUGUAUGAAGAAGGCCUUCGGGUUGUAAAGUACUUUCAGCGAGGAGGAAGGCGUUGUGGUUAAUAACCGCAACGAUUGACGUUACUCGCAGAAGAAGCACCGGCUAACUCCGUGCCAGCAGCCGCGGUAAUACGGAGGGUGCAAGCGUUAAUCGGAAUUACUGGGCGUAAAGCGCACGCAGGCGGUCGGUCAAGUCGGAUGUGACAUCCCCGGGCGCAACCUGGGAACUGCAUCCGAAGCUGGCAGGCUAGAGUCUUGUAGAGGGGGGUAGAAUUCCAGGUGUAGCGGUGAAAUGCGUAGAGAUCUGGAGGAAUACCGGUGGCGAAGGCGGCCCCCUGGACAAAGACUGACGCUCAGGUGCGAAAGCGUGGGGAGCAAACA
RNAcentral lists this ribosomal RNA (427 nucleotides) under uncultured bacterium. RNAcentral's name for it is "partial 16S ribosomal RNA". It matches the Rfam family "Bacterial small subunit ribosomal RNA", at positions 355 to 774 of the family's 1533-position model. The record is from RNAcentral.